RNAcentral lists this ribosomal RNA (253 nucleotides) under uncultured bacterium. Its description in RNAcentral is "partial 16S ribosomal RNA". It matches the Rfam family "Bacterial small subunit ribosomal RNA", at positions 524 to 776 of the family's 1533-position model. The record is from RNAcentral.
GACGUAGGGCGCGAGCGUUGUCCGGAUUUAUUGGGCGUAAAGAGCUCGUAGGCGGCUUGUUGCGUCGGCUGUGAAAACCCGCGGCUUAACCGUGGGCUUGCAGCCGAUACGGGCGGACUGGAGUUCGGCAGGGGAGACUGGAAUUCCUGGUGUAGCGGCGAAAUGCGCAGAUAUCAGGAGGAACACCGGUGGCGAAGGCGGGUCACUGGGUCUUUUCUGACGCUGAGGCACGAAAGCUAGGGUAGCGAACGGG